RNAcentral lists this ribosomal RNA (3228 nucleotides) under Triticum aestivum (bread wheat). Its description in RNAcentral is "partial small subunit ribosomal RNA". Lineage: Eukaryota; Viridiplantae; Streptophyta; Magnoliopsida; Poales; Poaceae. The record is from RNAcentral.
AUGGAGUUUGUAGUUGGUGCUUCGGAAGCCACCAUGAGGUCUCUCCUAGGCAAGUUGGGCGGCCUCCUUGCCCAAGAGUACACUCUGAUCCGUGGCGUCCGCGGAGACAUCCAGUACAUCAACGAUGAGCUCGCCACCAUGCAGGCCUUUCUUGCCGACCUCAGCUCUGCCCUGGACGACCACGAUCGCCGGCUCAAGAGCUGGAUGAAGCAGAUCCGUGACAUGGCAUACGACAUGGAAGACUGCGUCGAUGACUUUGCUCAUCGCCUCCCUAAUGACUCCCUCAGCGAUGCAAGAUGCUCCUUCAUCAUGACAAUAAUCUACGAGAUGUGGACAUACUGGCCUCGCCGCGACAUUGCUUCCAAGAUUGCUGAGCUCAAGCUCCGGGCACAACAUAUUGCUGAGCGGCGCAGCAGAUAUGGAGUGGACAACCCAAGCGCAAUCUCUAGAGUGGGAGCCCUCCAUGAUGUUACAUAUGGCAUUGCUGAGCAUAUGGUGGAGAGCCGUCAGCUCAUCCGCACGGAGAAUCCCGUCGGAGCAGAAGCAGAUAUGGAUAAACUUCGGGAUUGGCUAACCAAAGCCAGACAUGAUAAAGGCUCUCCAGCUGUUGCGUCCUUGGUCGGAUUCGGCGGCGUGGGAAAGACCACCAUUGCCACAGCACUGUACCGACAUUCAAGGAAUGAGUUUGUCUGUCGGGCGUCAGUCACAGUGUCUCAGAACUUCGACGAAGAUGAAGUCCUCAGGGAUAUUCUUGGGCAAAUCAAGCCAACAGACAGUCAAAUCAAGCCAAAAGAGGAGGUGCAGGAGGGCAGCAACACAGGAAGGUCGGAGAAGAAAAACCUAGUGGCAGACAUUAAAAGCUCGGUGAGGCGAGUUGUGCCACUGCUAUUUAGUCACAGGCAACAAAGCGACGAUGGCAGCACACAAAGUAAGAUACAAACAAUGAACCGUGACCAACUUAUUGGAGAACUCAGAAACCGCCUGCUUGGAAGGAGGUAUCUCCUUUUGAUUGAUGAUAUAUGGUCUGUAGAAACAUGGGGGGCCAUUAGAAACUGGUUGCCACAUGAUAGUGCAACAGAUAACAGAGUAAUAGUAACUACAAGAUUUCAAGCUGUUGGUGCGGCGUGCUCAGGAAGAGAUGGAACUGAUUAUCUGCAUGCAGUCAAUCGUCUAAGUGAUGCCGAAUCCAAAAGUCUAUUUUGUCAGGGUGUUUCUGAAUCUCAAAGCAGCGAAGAAAGUGAAAGAAAGGACACAAGAUCACAAGCUGUUGGUCCUGGGUCCUCCGAAGGGGAAGUUGUUGCCGAUGCCAAAGAACUGUUUAAUGAUCAUAUUUCUGUUGCGCAAAGCAGCAAAGAAAACGAAAGAAAGGAUACAAGAUCUCAAUCUGUUGAUACUGAGUCCUCUGAGCGGGAUGGAAUAAAUCACCUGCAUUCAGCUAGUGUUUCGGAUCAACAAAGCUGCAAAGGAAGGGAGAAAGAAGAGGUCCAUAUGGAUAUAUGGAAAUAUUGUGGGGGGCUUCCUUUGGCCAUAGUCACCAUGGCUGGCCUUGUGGCCUGCAACCCAAAAAAAAGUAAUGCUCAUUGGAGUAACAUUUGCAGGUCAUUAUUUCCCGAGCAGGUGGCUCCCCUUACUUUGGAUGGGGUCACAAGGAUACUUGAUUAUUGCUACAAUGAUUUGCCAGCGGAUCUCAAGACCUGCUCACUGUACUUGAGCAUUUUCCCCAAGGGCUCGAAAAUUAGUAGGAAGCGUCUGACCCGGCGAUGGAUAUCUGAAUGUUUCGUUACUGAGAAGCAUGGGCUGAGUGCAGAGGAAGUCGCAGAAACAUACUUCAAUCAGCUCGUGAGCAGGAAGAUAAUACGUCCAGUGGAUCACAGCAGCAAUGGGAAGGUCAAAUACUUUAAAGUUCAUGACAUGAUUCUCGAAUAUAUCGUGUCCAAGUCGAGCGAAGAGAAUUUUAUUACUGUUGUUGGUGGCCAUUGGCUGUUGCCAACUCCUAGCAACAAAGUCCGUCGACUUUCCAUGCAAAGCAGUGGUUCCAAGCAAGAGAAUACAACAAAAGGCAUGAACUUGUCUCAAGUGCGGUCACUGACAGUGUUUGGAAGCCAGGCCCGACGGCUCCCUUUCCAUUCGUUCAAUAAUGGAAUAAUACAAGUGCUAGACCUCGAGGGUUGGAAGGGUUUGACAGAUAAACAUCUAAAUGGCAUAUGCAAAAUGCUUGUGCUGAAAUAUUUGAGCCUCCGUCGAACAGAGGUUUCUGAGAUUCCGUCAAAGAUUGAGAAGCUCCAGUAUUUGGAAACUCUUGACAUAAGGGAGACCAAUGUUCAGGUGCUGCCCAAAGCUUUUGGCCACCUCAAACGGCUCCGUAGCAUGCUUGGAGGGAGUAAAAACCCACGGAAGGCAUUGAAGUUGCCCGAUGAGAAAAAUAAGGAGCCGAUGAAAGCACUCCGUAUACUGUCAGGGAUUGAGAUCGACGAGGACUCAUCAGCUGUAGCAAGCCUUCAUCAGCUGACAGGGCUAAGGAAGCUUGCCAUCUACAAGCUCAAUAAACGGGAGGGUUGUCAGACCUUCACACAGUUACGCUCCGCCAUCGAGUACCUCUGCAGCUGUGGUCUGCAGACUCUUGUAAUCAAUGAUGAGAACUCUGAUUUUAUUAACUCCUUGGACACCAUGUCUGCUCCUCCAAGAUACAUCAUUGGCCUGGAGCUGUCUGGCAAGAUGGAAAAACCCCCAAAGUGGAUCGAAAAUCUCGAGAACCUCUACAAGCUGACCCUUUCUGUGACAGUUCUUCAGACUCGUACAUUUCAGCUCAUUCAGGACCUACCAAAAUUGUUUACUCUCACCUUUACGCUCAGCGUAGCCAAGGAUGAUAGGGACAUAGUGGACAUCCUUGAGGAAAAUAAACAGCUUACUGAUAGGGAGAUCAUUGUUCCACCUGGAGGAUUCAAGAGUCUAAAGCUGCUUCGCUUCUUUGCAACUCUGGUGCCACGGCUGAGCUUUGCAGUUACAGGAAAAGAGGUAAUGCCAGCACUGGAGAGGAUUGAUAUGCGAUUCGAAGCCUUUGAAGGGAUUUACGGCAUCGAGACUCUUAAAAGCCUCCAAGAGGUGCAUCUCAGUGUUGGUAAUCAAGCAGAUGAAAUAACAAAGUUCUUGGUAGAAGAUUUGAAGGACACCCCUAAGUAUUUGGACAAAAAGUACGCGGAUAAGUGGCCAAAGAUAAUCACCGAGUGA